UUCUGGGAGGAGUCAUUUGAUGGGUUUUGAGUGAAAUCCAAUCUUUAGAACUAUACAACACACCAACCACUCCAUUUCAGAAUGGACUUCGUAUGAACCUGAAUUGUCUAAUUUCAUGGGCCAAUCGAUAUCGGAUUGAGUCCAAAACUUGGGGAACAUCAUAAUGUUGUCUGAGGAGUCAUUUUGUGAGUUUUGAGUGAAUUCUAAUAGCUAAAACAAUGCAAUACACCAAC
This 233-nucleotide long non-coding RNA is filed under the name Prunus persica (peach). Its description in RNAcentral is "long non-coding RNA (PPER_LNC007014)". The record is from RNAcentral. Lineage: Eukaryota; Viridiplantae; Streptophyta; Magnoliopsida; Rosales; Rosaceae.